GGAUGUGAGGGCGAUCUGGCUGCGACAUCUGUCACCCCAUUGAUCACCAGUGUUGAUUCAGCUGAUCUGGCUGGCUAGGCAGGUGUCUCCUCCCUCCCUCACUGCUCCAUGUGCAUCCCUCCCGAAGCUGCGUGCUCGGUCGAAGAGGACGAACUUCCCUGAUAGAGAAGGACCAUUCUUCGGUCAAGGGUACACAAGUAGCUGCACUCCCCUACUAGAACCUCCUGACAAGCUCUCAAGAUACAAAACGUAUGACCUGGUGCCCUGCUUUCCUUACACAUGG
Molecule: small nuclear RNA, 283 nt
Filed under: Propithecus coquereli (Coquerel's sifaka)
Lineage: Eukaryota; Metazoa; Chordata; Mammalia; Primates; Indriidae
Description: 7SK RNA (ENSPCOG00000011174.1)
Rfam family: 7SK RNA
About the family: 7SK was discovered as an abundant small nuclear RNA in the mid-70s but a possible function has only recently been suggested. Two independent studies have found that 7SK RNA binds the CDK9/cyclin T complex (known as elongation factor P-TEFb).
Source: RNAcentral